GGAUUUUAUGAAGUGAAAUCGGUUCAGCCGUCUUCUCUACAAGGAUGGAAGAGACCCCGGUGGACUUUGCAACACAUAUAUGUUUAAGGUAUUGACAUUUAUUCAACUCAACCUUGACAUCUUUU
Molecule: small nuclear RNA, 125 nt
Organism: Trichosurus vulpecula (common brushtail)
Lineage: Eukaryota; Metazoa; Chordata; Mammalia; Diprotodontia; Phalangeridae
Source: RefSeq, a predicted model, not a curated record